AUACGUAGGUGACAAGCGUUAUCCGGAUUUACUGGGCGUAAAGGGCGUGUAGGCGGUCUUGCAAGUCAGAAGUGAAAUUCCUGAGCUCAACUCGGGCGCUGCUUCUGAAACUGCAGGACUUGAGUGCUUGAGGGGAUAGCGGAAUUCCUAGUGGAGCGGUAAAAUGCGCAGAUAUUAGGAAGAACUCUGAUUGCGAAGGCAGCUUACUAAGUUAUAACUGACACUGAAGCACGAAAGCGUGGGUAUCAAACAGGAUUAGAUACCCUGGUAGUCCACGCAGUAAACGAUGAUUACUAGCUGUUUGCGAUAUACAGUAAGUGGCACAGCGAAAGCGUUAAGUAAUCCGCCUGGGGAGUACGCACGCAAGUGUGAAACUCAAAUGAAUUGGCGGGG
Molecule: ribosomal RNA, 393 nt
Filed under: uncultured bacterium
Lineage: Bacteria
Description: partial 16S ribosomal RNA
Rfam family: Bacterial small subunit ribosomal RNA
Source: RNAcentral